AUAGGCCAUGUCGAGCGGGCCGCCUUCGAUGAGGUCGAAGAAGUCCCGCGGUUCGACGCCGAGGGCCUGGGC
This 72-nucleotide transfer RNA is filed under the name Streptomyces alanosinicus. Its description in RNAcentral is "tRNA-Leu". Lineage: Bacteria; Bacillati; Actinomycetota; Actinomycetes; Kitasatosporales; Streptomycetaceae. The record is from RNAcentral.